RNAcentral lists this long non-coding RNA (1817 nucleotides) under Homo sapiens (human). RNAcentral describes it as "non-protein coding lnc-NAP1L3-6:1". Lineage: Eukaryota; Metazoa; Chordata; Mammalia; Primates; Hominidae. The record is from RNAcentral.
AAUAGAAAAAAGUUGCAAUUCCUUGCCUCCACUGUGAGACAAACCCCAACCACAUCUCUAGCACACAAGAACUUCCAAAUGCCUGAACCGCAGCGGCCAGGCGUUCCUCCAGUACCGCCUCCCCCAGGAGCUUGCUACAAGUGCCAGAAAUCUGGCCACCAGGCCAAGGAAUGCCUGCAGCCCAGGAUUCCUCCUAAGCCGCGUCCCAUCUGUGCGAGACCCCACUGGAAAUCGGACUGUCCAACUCACCUGGCAGCCACUCCCAGAGCCCCUGGAACUCUGGCCCAAGGCUCUCUGACUCCUUCCCAGAUCUUCUUGGCUUAGCGGCUGAAGACUGACGCUGCCCAGUCGCCUCGGAAGCCCCCCUACAUCAUGGACGCUGAGCUUCAGAUAACUCUCACAGUGGAAGUGUUGCUCACACAAAGCCUGUUUGGUGGUCUCUUCACACGGACGCGCAUGAAAAAGCCUUUGCUAGAUUUUUUGCUCACUUGGUACUGAAGAUGAAAAAAGAGUUUGGUCCAGAGAGCUGCCUUAGACUCCCCAGUAAAUCUAUUCAAACAGCUGCCUCUGUUACCUUGACUCGUCUCAGAUGUCAUCGACCUGAGAUGGCUCCUGGCGCAAGGAAGACAUUAAGGGAAAUUUUCAAGACAAAAUUCCAAUUCAGCUACUUACCUAAGAAUGAAGCCCUGGCUGAAGACUGCUCUAUACAAUCUUAGAAGCAGGAAAAAUUCAAACUCUCCAUUCCUGUUGGAAGUGAGCUGAAACUUCAAAAAAGAGUUGCCAUCCAUCAUCAUAGAAGCAGGAAAAUUCAUCUUCCUUGUUGAAAAUAAGUGAAACUCCAGGGCAUUCCAGAGUCAACCUAAAAAUCAAGUUCAGGCCAUGAUGGAAGAGACGGAGUUGGACAUGCCUCAUUAUUCCCUACUGCCUUUUGGAACUCAGGAAAAGCUGAUCAGCAUUAACAUCAACACAGACCUUAGUCUGAUAAGAAGCAUUUAUAAUCUAUUGUCUCUGAAACUUGCUAUUUGGUGGCUUCGUCUGCAUCAUAAAACUAUCUCCAAAAACCCUCAUUUUAACCUAGACAUUCUUUUCUAUUGAUAUAACUCUUUCAACCAAUUGCCAAUCAGAAAAGUUUUAAAUCUGUUUAUGACCUGGAAGCCCCCACUUUGAAUUGUUCCACACUUCCAGAUCAAGCCAAUGUAAAUCUUAUAUGCAUUGAUUGAUGCAUUAUGUCUCCCUAAAAUGUACAAAAAGCUAGCUGUACCCUGACCCCAUUGGGCACAUGUCAUCAGGACCUCCUGAGGCUGUUUCACAGGCAUGUCUUUAACCUUGGUAAAAUAAACUUUCUAAAUGAGGGAUUCUAACUAUUUGAGGAACUGCUAGAUUCCACAAUGCCUGAUAGACUGCUCUCAUCUCACAACAGCUGUUUGGCUUGAGGGAAGCAGUUUCAACGUGAACAAGCAACAUCCUGUUUGAAAGCUGCUCCUCUGAUUAAAGAAGAGUCAGGGAAAUCUAGUGAAAUAUGUUUGCUCAUUGGUGGAAGUCACUUGCCUUGUAUCAGAUGAGACUACAGACUUGGACUUUUAGGUUAAUUCUGAAAUGAGUUAAGACUUUGGGGAACUGUAUGGAAAGCAUAAUUGUGCUUUGAAAUGUGAGAAAAAUGAGAUCUGACAGGGGCCAGUGGCAGAAUGAUAUGGUCUGGCUCAUGGCAAUUCCCCCAUGCUAUUUUCAUAUUAGUGAGUGAGUUCUCAUAAGAGCUGAUGGUUUUACAAGGGGAUUUCCCCCCUUUCACUCUCCUCUCCUCUCUCCUGACACCCAUA